UCAGAUUGAACGCUGGCGGCAGGCCUAACACAUGCAAGUCGAACGGUAGCACAGAGGAGCUUGCUCCUUGGGUGACGAGUGGCGGACGGGUGAGUAAUGUCUGGGGAUCUGCCCGAUGGAGGGGGAUAACUACUGGAAACGGUAGCUAAUACCGCAUAACGUCGCAAGACCAAAGUGGGGGACCUUCGGGCCUCACACCAUCGGAUGAACCCAGAUGGGAUUAGCUAGUAGGUGGGGUAACGGCUCACCUAGGCGACGAUCCCUAGCUGGUCUGAGAGGAUGACCAGCCACACUGGAACUGAGACACGGUCCAGACUCCUACGGGAGGCAGCAGUGGGGAAUAUUGCACAAUGGGCGCAAGCCUGAUGCAGCCAUGCCGCGUGUAUGAAGAAGGCCUUCGGGUUGUAAAGUACUUUCAGCGGGGAGGAAGGUGGUGAGGUUAAUAAGCUCAUCAAUUGACGUUACCCGCAGAAGAAGCACCGGCUAACUCCGUGCCAGCAGCCGCGGUAAUACGGAGGGUGCAAGCGUUAAUCGGAAUUACUGGGCGUAAAGCGCACGCAGGCGGUCUGUCAAGUCGGAUGUGAAAUCCCCGGGCUUAACCUGGGAACUGCAUUCGAAACUGGCAGGCUCGAGUCUCGUAGAGGGGGGUAGAAUUCCAGGUGUAGCGGUGAAAUGCGUAGAGAUCUGGAGGAAUACCGGUGGCGAAGGCGGCCCCCUGGACGAAGACUGACGCUCAGGUGCGAAAGCGUGGGGAGCAAACAGGAUUAGAUACCCUGGUAGUCCACGCCGUAAACGAUGUCGACUUGGAGGUUGUGCCCUUGAGGCGUGGCUUCCGGAGCUAACGCGUUAAGUCGACCGCCUGGGGAGUACGGCCGCAAGGUUAAAACUCAAAUGAAUUGACGGGGGCCCGCACAAGCGGUGGAGCAUGUGGUUUAAUUCGAUGCAACGCGAAGAACCUUACCUGGCCUUGACAUCCAGAGAACUUAGCAGAGAUGCUUUGGUGCCUUCGGGAACUCUGAGACAGGUGCUGCAUGGCUGUCGUCAGCUCGUGUUGUGAAAUGUUGGGUUAAGUCCCGCAACGAGCGCAACCCUUAUCCUUUGUUGCCAGCGAUUCGGUCGGGAACUCAAAGGAGACUGCCGGUGAUAAACCGGAGGAAGGUGGGGAUGACGUCAAGUCAUCAUGGCCCUUACGGCCAGGGCUACACACGUGCUACAAUGGCGCAUACAAAGAGAAGCGACCUCGCGAGAGCAAGCGGACCUCAUAAAGUGCGUCGUAGUCCGGAUUGGAGUCUGCAACUCGACUCCAUGAAGUCGGAAUCGCUAGUAAUCGUAGAUCAGAAUGCUACGGUGAAUACGUUCCCGGGCCUUGUACACACCGCCCGUCACACCAUGGGGAGUGGGUUGCAAAAAGAAGUAGGUAGCUUAACCUUUCGGGAGGGCGCUUACCACUUUGUGAUUCAUGACUGGGGGUGAA
Molecule: ribosomal RNA, 1474 nt
Filed under: Pantoea sp.
Lineage: Bacteria; Pseudomonadati; Pseudomonadota; Gammaproteobacteria; Enterobacterales; Erwiniaceae
Description: bacterial SSU rRNA
Rfam family: Bacterial small subunit ribosomal RNA
Source: RNAcentral